RNAcentral lists this long non-coding RNA (573 nucleotides) under Aquila chrysaetos chrysaetos. RNAcentral's name for it is "lncRNA (ENSACCG00020010951.1)". Lineage: Eukaryota; Metazoa; Chordata; Aves; Accipitriformes; Accipitridae. The record is from RNAcentral.
GAAUUUUACAUCGCACUCUAAUUCUCAGACACGGAGCAAAUUUUAUUUCAGAGAAGAAUGCAAUUUCAAAAGUACAAUGACUAUACUCUCCAUGAAAAAGUAAAAUAUUUGGGAGUAACUAAGAAAUGAGACAGAGAAACUGUAAUGAUGACCAUAUCCUCCUACUGACUUAUGCUGAAGACAAAAUAAAAGUUCCAAUCUUGCUACUAGACAAAUGAUUGUUCCCACCCUCUUUAUGUGUCUCAUUCUUAAUGGAGAAGCAUGUAAAAAUAACCUGAAGCUAAAAGUAGAGAACUCUAGAGAAGGAAGAAGGAAGAUGAACCCAUCCACUUGUCUGUUAUGACAAAUUAGUGUUGCUCUGAGGCCAUUUUGAGGCCAUUUCCACCUGUAUGAGGCCUGUAUUUGCUCCCCUCUCCAAACAGUAUGUUAGUCACCUUUUCAUAAUGGCCCUCCUUACUUGUUUUUCUUUUCUUCAGACCAUUUGACACAGUCUGCUGUUUUACUAGGCAUUCAGAAGGCUUUAGCAUGCCUUCUAAUCAUAGCAUAUUAAAGAACAAGCAAAUGUUAAUGUCU